UUCAGAGGUCUCGAGCGUUGUUCGGAUUUACUGGGCGUAAAGGGAGCGUAGGCGGCCGGGUGUGUCGAAUGUGAAAGCCCACAACUCAACUGUGGAAUGGCAUUCGAAACUACCUGGCUAGAGUACUGGAGAGGAGAGCGGAAUUCUUGGUGUAGCGGUGAAAUGCGUAGAUAUCAAGAGGAACACCGGUGGCGAAGGCGGCUCUCUGGACAGAUACUGACGCUGAGGCUCUAAAGUUAGGGGAGCAAACAGGAUUAGAUACC
Molecule: ribosomal RNA, 263 nt
Filed under: uncultured bacterium
Lineage: Bacteria
Description: partial 16S ribosomal RNA
Rfam family: Bacterial small subunit ribosomal RNA
Source: RNAcentral